This 543-nucleotide ribosomal RNA is filed under the name Triticum aestivum (bread wheat). Its description in RNAcentral is "partial small subunit ribosomal RNA". Lineage: Eukaryota; Viridiplantae; Streptophyta; Magnoliopsida; Poales; Poaceae. The record is from RNAcentral.
UACCAUGAGAUCCUCGCCUCGCACCUCGCCCAACUGCAGCUACCAGCCGGUGCCGACUACGACGGCGGCCCAAAUCUCCCUUCUGAUGAAACUGUCGAAGCCCUUGUUCGUACUACUUUCUACGAUGAUGAGCUGCGGGCAGCUCUUGUUGAAUAUCAAGCCCACAAGUUGUUGAGCCGACCAGACGAUGUCCAUGGACGGGAUGGAGAUUCUGGAGAGGACUCCGGUGAUGAUAUCGCCGAGGAGGAAUUCGUCAAGUACUCCCAAGUGUUGAAGGCUCGCAGCAGUGCUGAAAUUGACACUGACACUAGACUGAAUCAAGAGCAGUUCAACAGGCUCCAUGUCAAGUAUGUUCGUUAUCACAUCAAAGCUUGCCUGUUGUUGAAAGGAAAGCAUAUCGACGAGCUAGACGAUGCCACAUUGGAACGCAAGUACCCUAUUGAGCUUGCCUUGGGGGAUAAAGACUUAUCCCCUUACCUGGAAGAGGGCGCCUUUGGCUGGUAUUUCGACUCCGACCUCUGUUUACUUGCAUCCUUGAGCGAU